This 433-nucleotide ribosomal RNA is filed under the name uncultured bacterium. Its description in RNAcentral is "partial 16S ribosomal RNA". It matches the Rfam family "Bacterial small subunit ribosomal RNA", at positions 29 to 507 of the family's 1533-position model. The record is from RNAcentral.
AACGAACGCUGGCGGCAUGCCUAACACAUGCAAGUCGAACGAGACCUUCGGGUCUAGUUGCGCACGGGUGCGUAACGCGUGGGAACCUGCCCUUAGGUACGGAAUAACUCCCCGAAAGGGGUGCUAAUACCGGAUAAUGUCUUCGGACCAAAGAUUUAUCGCCUUUGGAUGGGCCCGCGUUGGUUUAGCCAGUUGGUAGGGUAAAAGCCUAUCAAGGCGACGAUCCAUAGCUGGUCUGAGAGGAUGAUCAGCCACACUGGGACUGAGACACGGCCCAGACUCCUACGGGAGGGAGCAGUGGGGAAUAUUGGACAAUGGGGGAAAGCCUGAUCCAGCAAUGCCGGGUGAGUGAUGAAGGCCUUAGGGUUGUAAAGCUGUUUUACACGGGAUGAUAAUGACAGUACCGGGAGAAUAAGCUCCGGCUAACUCCGUG